Molecule: ribosomal RNA, 440 nt
Filed under: uncultured bacterium
Lineage: Bacteria
Description: partial 16S ribosomal RNA
Rfam family: Bacterial small subunit ribosomal RNA
Source: RNAcentral
CCUACGGGAGGCAGCAGUGGGGAAUAUUGCACAAUGGGGGGAACCCUGAUGCAGCGACGCGGCGUGAGCGAUGAAGUAUUUCGGUAUGUAAAGCUCUAUCAGCAGGGAAGAAAGUGAAGGUACCUGACUAAGAAGCCCCGGCUAACUACGUGCCAGGAGCCGCGGUAAUACGUAGGGGGCAAGCGUUAUCCGGAUUUACUGGGUGUAAAGGGAGCGUAGACGGCAGUGCAAGCCAGAUGUGAAAGCCUGGGGCCCAACCCCGGGACUGCAUUUGGAACUGUGCUGCUAGAGUGUCGGAGAGGCAGGCGGAAUUCCUGGUGUAGCGGUGAAAUGCGUAGAUAUUAGGAGGAACACCAGUGGCGAAGGCGGCCUGCUGGACGGUGACUGACGUUGAGGCUCGAAAGCGUGGGGAGCAAACAGGAUUAGAUACCCGGGUAGUC